RNAcentral lists this ribosomal RNA (518 nucleotides) under uncultured Akkermansia sp. RNAcentral's name for it is "bacterial SSU rRNA". It matches the Rfam family "Bacterial small subunit ribosomal RNA", at positions 521 to 1034 of the family's 1533-position model. The record is from RNAcentral. Lineage: Bacteria; Pseudomonadati; Verrucomicrobiota; Verrucomicrobiia; Verrucomicrobiales; Akkermansiaceae.
UAAUACAGAGACUGCAAGCGUUGUUCGGAUUCAUUGGGCGUAAAGGGUCCGCAGGCGGUCGGGUAAGUCGGAUGUGAAAGCUCGUGGCCUAACCACGAAAUGUCAUUCGAAACUGCCCGGCUCGAGGGCUGGAGAGGAGACUAGAAUUGCUGGUGUAGCGGUGAAAUGCGUAGAGAUCAGCAAGAAUACCAGUGGCGAAGGCGGGUCUCUGGACAGUUCCUGACGCUCAUGGACGAAAGCCAGGGAGCAAACGGGAUUAGAUACCCCGGUAGUCCUGGCCCUAAACGGUGCUUACUUGGUGUGCGGGGAGUCGACCCCCUGCGUGCCGCAGCUAACGCGUUAAGUAAGCCGCCUGGGAAGUACGGUCGCAAGAUUAAAACUCAAAGAAAUUGACGGGGGCCCGCACAAGCGGUGGAGCAUGUGGCUUAAUUCGAUGCAACGCGAAGAACCUUACCUGGCCUUGACAUCUAUCACGAAAGCCGGUGAAAGCCGGUGACGGCCCGAAAGGGUGCAGGGGA